AUGGCACCGCUGGCCUCCAUGGCUCGCUGCGCCCUGCUCCCUUCUGCACAUCCAGUGCCGCGCCUCCCCUGCCGCCAUGUCAUGCUGACUCCGGCGAGGACAUGCCUCCCUUUAGCCUCUCCCUCUAGCACCAAGCGCCUCUCCACCUCUGCACCAGCCGGAGCCAUCGCCGGCUACCCCGGAGCCGCGCUGCUCCUUCUGCACGCCGCCGUCCGCGACCACCAGGAGGCCGCCGCUCGCCUCGCGCCUCUGCUGCCGGCGACCACGGCCGUUGGAGCGUGCCCGCCAUCGACCUCCUCGGCCAACCGGGUCGUGUCGUCCCUUCGUCGCGCCCUCCUCCUCUCCUGUCGUGCAGCCAUGGCCCCAAGCUCCUGCUGCAGCCGCUGCUUCCCAGCUCCUCCCCUGCUUCUCCAACUUCGUCCUCGGCCGAGCAGUCCCGCCACGACCAUCACCACCCCGACGCCCUUGCUGCUGCUAUACCACCUCGAUGUCACCAGGGAGUACCAUGGCUUCCAUCGAGACCCUUGGAUUCAUCAAGAUCGCCAAGUAGCACGACAUACGACGCCCGUAACGACCACAACACCGAACGCCAAGUACAGGAUGACCCGCGAAGCCCCUGGACGCCAUGUAUCACAACCGUGGCGUUCCAUUUCAUCCUUGUCAAGUACCCAUGGACGUCAAGUACAACGAUGUCGGUGCCCCCAAGUUCGGCUACACGAAAACGCCAAGUACCCCUUCAUGUCGGCAAGACCCGCAAGUCGGACCCCGAACGAUCGACGACUCGUGGACCAUGUACAACUUCAGUCGCCGAACACCUGGGUAGCACAAGUGCCAAGUACCCCAGAGACCACUUGGACGUCAAGUACCGUUGACCCUCGAAGACUCCGUGGACGUCAAGUUUCUCGCCGUGACCCCGAACAUCUACGGAAACUUGUGCGACUAAGAAUGUGA
This 951-nucleotide ribosomal RNA is filed under the name Triticum aestivum (bread wheat). RNAcentral's name for it is "partial small subunit ribosomal RNA". Lineage: Eukaryota; Viridiplantae; Streptophyta; Magnoliopsida; Poales; Poaceae. The record is from RNAcentral.